AGACCAUGAAGAGCCUUAAAAACAAACAGUAAAAGUUUCAACUGAACUCUAAAAGGAACAGGGAGUCAGUGAAGUUAAACGUCACGCUGCUGCAUUCUGGACUAACGGGAGACGGUCGAGUGAUCGCUGAGUGACUCCAAAGUAAAGAGAGGUACAAUCAUCUGUACGGAGGUGAUUGUGGCGUGGAUGGCUGAUUCUAGAUCACUCUGGCUCAAGGAAGAUUCUCACUGAAGGCUGCGAGGGCUCUUUGACUAAGAAGGAGUGAUGGAGUUCUGCAGCAGAUGACCGGGCCUCCACAGUUAGCUGGACCUGAACCCCACUGAGAUGAUUUGGGGGUGUACCAGGUUUGACCGAGGUGGUGAUGAGGUAUUUCUUAUGGCUCUUUGGAUGCGUUCCGUUAUUCCUCUGAUGUCUGAUCUUCCAUAAAAAAACUGCACAUGAUGGCUGAUAGUGGGUCCCCCAUGGGAAAGCCUUCCUUCUGCCUAACAAGAGCAGCACGCCAACAGGCAUCUCAGGAAAGUAUGAAAUCAGCAAUAACAGACCACUGCAAGCA
This is a long non-coding RNA of Oryzias melastigma (Indian medaka), 553 nucleotides long. RefSeq lists it as uncharacterized. NCBI's taxonomy places the organism in Eukaryota, Metazoa, Chordata, Actinopteri, Beloniformes, Adrianichthyidae. The transcript has 4 exons. The record is from RefSeq and is a predicted model, not a curated record.